GUAAGUCCGUGCAAAGGGGACAGGAAAAAUGUUUAAGUAUGUCAUCUGAGUGACAAACUUAUUCCUCCACUGUUUAAUAGCAGCUCUAUCUCCUUGUGAUAAUUAGGGACAAUUACCCCUUUAGGUCAGUGACUUCUCUAUGUUUCUGCUAGUUUCUUGGAGUGAGUUCAGAGUGCCCAGGCAUUAUCAAGAGGCUAAAAUCUAUUGAGGCUUUUGCUAGCACCAGCUGGAAAAGUUAACCAUUUGGAUAACCAGGAUCUCCAAACGCCUUUGCAGAGUUCAGUGUUGCAAGGCCCAGAAGCAUGGGUUAAGAAAAGUGAUGGUAAACAGAUUAUCUGCUGUGUUUUCUCAUUACUUUAUAAAGCAAGUACUGAUUGGGUGAAGAAGGAGUUGUCUCCUACCCGUUGCGAUUCCUGUAAUAUGCUCACUCUUUGGGAAAAUGAUCUUGGAACCAGCGACUCCCGAUGCCAUGUGUGAAUCAUAGCACUAGGAGAUGUGUUGCAUGCCUGUGAAUUAUACCCCAAGUGUGACAGACGAUGACUAUUUGGAGGAUGCCAAAUAGCAGUUGCCGUAGCAACAAUAACCAGGGGAUGCUUCUCCGAACUUCUGCCUCCUCUCUGCCCCAUCAUUUCCCCUGUUUUGAGAGUUAGAUAACGUGGUUACUGGAAUUAGUCGAAGCUGGUUCCCACCCCCAGCCCCCACCCAGCAUAAUGAAAGAGAGAAAACUUAGAAAUGUCUGCCUUCUUCUUACUAUCAGGGGAAAUUCAGCAUAUCUCUGCAGUCAAGACUGAAAGGAGGGAGACUCAGAGGGCAAAGAGCUGUGCUCUCUCAUACUAAUAAAUGCUCGGUGGUGGGAAAAUUAAUUGUCAGAACUGCUCCUGCAAACCACUUGUGAGGAAUGAAAAAGAUCAUUGUUGAAUUUCCACACGUGGGCUAAAAGAACAGUAUGUAAAUUGGAUUGCAAGAUGCUAUGUUCUGUGAGUGGAAAUUUCUGGUCUCUUCUGGAUCUGACAUGGCAGAUUUAAUUUUACUUUCUUAAAAAAAUAGGAGUGUAAUCUAGACAGGGAGAAGGAAAAUUUCUUUUAAUUACCUAUGACUUUAUUGAUAUGUACAGCCCCUUCCCCAAAUAAAUAUUCAGAUUAAAGCAGAGAAUGAAGUUUAAGGAAAAUUCUAUUUGCUAAGAGCGGAGUGGAUUUCUUCAAAGGAAAAGAAGCUUAAGCUUCAGGGCCCCUUCUAAGGCCCUGAAUCUAAAUUUGCAUUUGUAAAUAUAUUACAAUUCUUCUUUAAAAUCCACUCUCUGAUUAUAUACGCUUUGAGCUCCACAAAUUCUCGAUCCACCUCUCAGGAGAAGGCAAAAUGUAAGUGAUUUAUUUGAUUGUAUGUUUUGCUAUUGCAUCACUCUUUAUGACAUUCAGAUUUCUCACCUUGUAGUUCUAUUUUGAGUACUCAUAUCUGCUUUUACUUUUUCUCCUCUUGCUUUGGGAGAUAUUAUAGAUCUUCCGCUAGUCUUAAGCUUGCACACGUUUAAACAACAAUAUCAAAAAACGUGUAGUUUACAUACAUCAUUGUACUUUCAAAACUACUUAAUACAGUUUUGAGUAGAAAUUGAAAUGGUUCAUAGUAGAAAAUAGAUAGAACAGAUCAAGAGUUAUUUUAAAGUGGUUAAUUUAUCUGCUAACCAUGUCAUUCAGAGUCUAUUCUAUGUAAUUUCUGUGGGAAACAUCAAUUUCUGACUGGAAGAAGUUUUUGUAUACUCUUAACAAUAAAUAUAAUU
This 1774-nucleotide long non-coding RNA is filed under the name Equus caballus (horse). Its description in RNAcentral is "lncRNA (ENSECAG00000059863.1)". The record is from RNAcentral. Lineage: Eukaryota; Metazoa; Chordata; Mammalia; Perissodactyla; Equidae.